Molecule: Y RNA, 102 nt
Filed under: Prolemur simus (greater bamboo lemur)
Lineage: Eukaryota; Metazoa; Chordata; Mammalia; Primates; Lemuridae
Description: Y RNA (ENSPSMG00000016643.1)
Rfam family: Y RNA
About the family: Y RNAs are components of the Ro ribonucleoprotein particle (Ro RNP), in association with Ro60 and La proteins. The Y RNAs and Ro60 and La proteins are well conserved, but the function of the Ro RNP is not known.
Source: Rfam by way of RNAcentral
GGUUGGUCCAAGUGCAGUGGUGUUUACAACUAAUUGAUCACAACCAGUUACAGAUUCCUUUGUUCCUUCUCCACUCCCACUGCUUCACUUGACCAGCCUUAA